CAAAAUACACUGAGUUAUUCCACUGUAUAAUCUUUUUUCUCAACCUUCUUUCUCUCUUAUCCCUCAAAUCUCUCUCUCCUUUCCCCUCACUCUUCUCUGUCGGCAACAGAGAAGUCACCGCUGGCCGUCUUCUUCGGCGGAGUUCUACGAAGUCCAACUAAACAGCCGCCUCUUUCUCUCUUCCCCACACACAUCACACCCUCCGUGGUAUACCCUCCUCAUUGCGAAUCACCCUUAAAAAUCAUCGCGCACCAUCAGAUCUAGAUCAAAAAUCAGGAAGUUGUGAUCAAUCCAUUACCAACGGCGAAAACAAUAGAGGAGGAAGACCAGAGGCGUCACCGGAUCCGGAUCAAGUGGAGAUGUCAGAACUCAUGGCUUCUUCUUCUUUUUUGUAUAUCACAUCUGAAUGUAUUCGUCUAACUUGAGACUUAUUCCUCCACUACUAUUUUUCACGUAAAAAAAUUGUUGCCUUUUUCUUCUCCACUGCCACUCACGUCAGAAAAUCGUAUUUAAAUACAGUGUAUCUUGUAUUUUCCUUAGAAAUUUAAAGUGCAUUUUAGAUGUUUGCCAGAGAUCCGAUGGAGUUUGAUUGUAUUCUUCAUUUUAUAAAUACAGUAUAUUUUGGAUUCUCGUCGGAUCUGCACUCUUUAUUUUAUAGUUAAAUACAAUUAAUUUUUAAAAGUGUUUGAAUAUAUACUUUAUUUUUUUAGUGUAAAUAUAGAGAUAUUUUAUAUUUUGCCCGAGAUUCGACUGGUAUUGAUUGUAUUCUUCCUUUUUAAAU
This 781-nucleotide long non-coding RNA is filed under the name Nicotiana benthamiana. Its description in RNAcentral is "long non-coding RNA (NBEN_LNC040337)". The record is from RNAcentral. Lineage: Eukaryota; Viridiplantae; Streptophyta; Magnoliopsida; Solanales; Solanaceae.